Molecule: non-coding RNA, 82 nt
Organism: Paraphysoderma sedebokerense
Lineage: Eukaryota; Fungi; Blastocladiomycota; Physodermatomycetes; Physodermatales; Physodermataceae
Source: the annotation of a GenBank genome assembly
GCCCCGUUAGCGUAGUGGUGUAUCGCAUCUGUCUUGUAUCUUGCGAAACAGAAGGUCCGUCGUUCGACUCGGCGACGGGGCA